UACGUAGGGUGCUAGCGUUGUCCGGAUUCACUGGGCGUAAAGGGUGCGUAGGCGGUCGGGUAAGUCUGAUGUGAAAUCUCACAGCUUAACUGUGAAACUGCAUUGGAUACUAUCCGGCUAGAGGAAUGGAGGGGAGACUGGAAUACUUGGUGUAGCAGUGAAAUGCGUAGAUAUCAAGUGGAACACCAGUGGCGAAGGCGAGUCUCUGGACAUUUCCUGACGCUGAGGCACGAAAGCCAGGGGAGCAAACGGG
RNAcentral lists this ribosomal RNA (253 nucleotides) under uncultured bacterium. Its description in RNAcentral is "partial 16S ribosomal RNA". It matches the Rfam family "Bacterial small subunit ribosomal RNA", at positions 524 to 776 of the family's 1533-position model. The record is from RNAcentral.